GCUACCUGAUGGCCUGUCGUACCCCGCAGACCUAUCUCUGUCUUCUCAAAAACAAAACAACAACAAAAAUCACUUAAAAUGGGGCUAGGAGUGCUUGUCACUAAGCCAGAGCAGGCUGUAUUUCACCAUAUGCUGUGAGGGGCUAUGCGGCUUGAGGCAGAGACAUAUCUGGGGCUCACUGGGCUCACUGGCCAACUGACCUAAUUGACACCUACUGAGCCAGUGAAAAAAUGACUUACAUUCACCUCCCACUCACAAGCACACAUAUGCUCACCACCACUUGAAAACAGAACUCAGGGGAACGUGCAGAUUUGCACAUUGUGCGCCAGAGCAUCGAGAUUGGGAGCCUGUCGGUGUCUGUUGUUCUCACAGCUCUGCUGUGUGGCUGGGUUUUAGGGGAAGACUUUGUUUUUGUUUUAUUUUAUGUGUGUGGAUGUUUCGCCUGUAUGUGUGCCUGUGCACCAUGUAUGUGCCUGCUUCCCGCAGAGGCCAGAAGAGCGCAUCAGAGUUAUGUGAGAUGCCAUUAGGUUCUGGGAAUCACACGUGGGUCCUCUACAAGAAUAGUCCGUGCUCUGAACUGCUGAGCCAUCUCUCCAGCCCUGGUGAGGGGGCUGUUUUUGUUCACAUCAGAUGGGAGAGAUUGACAAACUAAAGAGGGGGUUCUGUCCAAGUCUACUCUGCAGCUCAGUGCAUUGAAGGAGCAUAGGUGACUCAGGCAGCUGCAUUACUGAGAAGCCAGCCCCACACCCCAGCAUUCCUGGGUCCCGCUAUGGGAUUUGCAAACAGCUCCAAGAGGCUCCCCUUCCUAGCAGUAGCUCACUGUUUAUAUAACCUCAUACAAGCUUCAUGUGUCUUGUAAGUUCCUGGUGAGUGUCAUGAGCCUUGCGAAUUUCCCUCCUCCUCUCCCCUUUCCUCCCCGCUCCAUGAGGGGAUGUGUCUUUAUGAAGCGAAUAGCUACACAAUCAGGCCACCUGGGACACCUUUGGUGACUUGAGCGCUUUCAGGAUAUGUCAACACAGAGUUGUCAGUGGACAGGAGGCUGCUGGGACUGUCACAUCGCUAGAGUUCUUUCUGUUCCAGGACUAGUUACUGCUUUUAACAAUCAAUACAUGGAACGAGCAGGCGGAGCUGGAGUGCAGCUGGGUGGUAGAGCGCUUGCUUGCCUAGUAUGUGUUACCACGGCGGCCACUCCAACAGCACACAGGAAACUCCUCUUCAUUAUCUCUUUAGGGAGCAGCAAGCAGCGUCAGAUGCCUUUGAGUACAUUCUGGGCACGCCACUUUAAGACAUAAUCUGUGUGAUUGCCUCUUUAAAUUAAUAUUUUAUGCUGUCUCAUUGCCAAUGACUAUAAUAAAAUGGCUAUAAACGUAUU
This 1372-nucleotide long non-coding RNA is filed under the name Rattus norvegicus (Norway rat). Its description in RNAcentral is "long non-coding RNA NONRATT027195". Lineage: Eukaryota; Metazoa; Chordata; Mammalia; Rodentia; Muridae. The record is from RNAcentral.